GGUGAUGCUCCACACCUCUCUGUUUCUCACAACUCACAUUCGUCAGCGAAGCCUGUUGGAUCUGCUUACAACUCUCUGGGGCGGCCAGCGGCUUCUGGCUCCUCGUGGCCACCCUGCCAGGCUGAGCCCCUGCUCUGUCUCCCUGGGAGUUCUGCAGUGGCUCUGUCACCCUUCUCAUACCUUCCUGAUGCUAUUCCUGCUCUCCUGUCAGCUGCUUGUCCUCCAAAGAAGCCAGAGCAGACAGAUCAUGAUUCUCUUCUUUCCUGCCAAUCUUCAAAUCUUUUCUCAAAUGCCACCUCUUCAAUAUGCCUGCCUUGACCACUCUGUGAGGUUGCAGCAUUCUCCCCCUCCCCUACCAUCUGCCCAACUCCAGGACCCUACUCAACGCCCAUUGCAGUUUCUUUUGCUCAUGGUUCGUCGUCUGUCUUCCCUCACCAGGUCGCAAACUCUACUUUGAGUCUCAAGAGCCUGGUGACACAUGGCAGGUGCUCUGGAGUGGACACAGCAUUGCCACUUUUGACAGCUGCCCCCUUUGUCACCCUCGGGUUGUGACCCGAAUGUCCCUUCCUCAAGGACUGUCCUGGGCAGAGCCGGGCCCCCCUCUGCCACCCUACUGCUCUAUCCCAGCACCAUCUUUCAGAGGUCAUCGUCAUCACUUGUGAAUGCACAUUUGCCUCAUGCUCACGUGUUUAUUGUCCGUCUCCGGCAUCCGCACCCCCAGCCACAGUGUUGACUUCAUUCUCUAGGGUCUUCCUAGUGCUUGCCAUAGACCCGCAGGGAAUAGAUGGGAAUUAAGUAAAUACUUGUUGACUAACUGGGAAGCACUUUAUAUAUACUCUUGUACUUGAUGAUCACAGCCCUCCUGUAAAAUGAGUAUUAUUUAAAUGCC
RNAcentral lists this long non-coding RNA (889 nucleotides) under Pongo abelii (Sumatran orangutan). RNAcentral's name for it is "lincRNA". The record is from RNAcentral. Lineage: Eukaryota; Metazoa; Chordata; Mammalia; Primates; Hominidae.